UAACAGACUCCGAGCUUGUUUUCCUAAGUCAAAAUCAAAACGAUAUGGAAGCAAUGCCAGAAUUAUAACGAAUAAUUCAAUGGUUCGCUGAGAAAUUAUCGAGCCACUCGUGUUUAGAAAGGUGUCAAAUGCAAA
Molecule: non-coding RNA, 135 nt
Filed under: Actinobacillus porcitonsillarum
Lineage: Bacteria; Pseudomonadati; Pseudomonadota; Gammaproteobacteria; Pasteurellales; Pasteurellaceae
Description: Moco (molybdenum cofactor) riboswitch
Rfam family: Molybdenum/Tungsten riboswitch aptamer (Moco RNA motif)
Source: RNAcentral